Canis lupus familiaris (dog) is the source of this 107-nucleotide non-coding RNA. The record is from Rfam. Lineage: Eukaryota; Metazoa; Chordata; Mammalia; Carnivora; Canidae.
AGGAGGAACAACCGCAGUGGCGGGGGGGCAGCUCUGGAGCCCUGGAUUCAGCCCCCACAGGAACUCCGGAGCUCUCCGUCUGCAGGGCCUGGAGGCUCCGGGCGGGG